Molecule: ribosomal RNA, 253 nt
Filed under: uncultured bacterium
Lineage: Bacteria
Description: partial 16S ribosomal RNA
Rfam family: Bacterial small subunit ribosomal RNA
Source: RNAcentral
UACGUAGGGUGCAAGCGUUGUCCGGAAUUAUUGGGCGUAAAGAGCUUGUAGGCGGUUUGUCGCGUCUGCUGUGAAAACCCGGGGCUUAACCCUGGGCUUGCAGUGGAUACGGGCAGACUAGAGGCAGGUAGGGGAGAAUGGAAUUCCCGGUGUAGCGGUGAAAUGCGCAGAUAUCGGGAGGAACACCAGCGGCGAAGGCGGCACUCUGGGCUGGUACUGACGCUGAGGAGCGAAAGCGUGGGUAGCAAACAGG